Molecule: ribosomal RNA, 253 nt
Filed under: uncultured bacterium
Lineage: Bacteria
Description: partial 16S ribosomal RNA
Rfam family: Bacterial small subunit ribosomal RNA
Source: RNAcentral
UACGUAGGGGGCAAGCGUUGUCCGGAAUCAUUGGGCGUAAAGAGCGUGUAGGCGGCUCGGUAAGUCCGCUGUGAAAGUCCAGGGCUCAACCCUGGAAUGCCGGUGGAAACUGUCGAGCUAGAGUCCGGAAGAGGCGAGUGGAAUUCCUGGUGUAGCGGUGAAAUGCGCAGAUAUCAGGAGGAACACCAAUGGCGAAGGCAGCUCGCUGGACCACAACUGACGCUGAUGCACGAAAGCUAGGGGAGCAAACAGG